CAAUAGCGUAUAUUAAAGUUGUUGCGGUUAAAAAGCUCGUAGUUGGAUUUCUGCUGAGAACGACCGGUCCGCCCUCUGGGUGUGUAUCUGGCUCUUUCUUGGCAUCUUCUUGGUGAACGUUGCUGCACUUGACUGUGUGGAGCGCUACCCAGGACUUUUACUUUGAGGAAAUUAGAGUGUUUCAAGCAGGCAUACGCCUUGAAUACAUUAGCAUGGAAUAAUAAGAUAGGACCUCGGUUCUAUUUUGUUGGUUUCUAGAGCUGAGGUAAUGAUUAAUAGGGAUAGUUGGGGGCAUUAGUAUUUAAUUGUCAGAGGUGGAAUUCUCAGAUUUGUUAAAGACUAACUUAUGCGAAAGCAUUUGCCAAGGAUGUUUUCAUUAA
Molecule: ribosomal RNA, 380 nt
Filed under: uncultured eukaryote
Lineage: Eukaryota
Description: partial 18S ribosomal RNA
Rfam family: Eukaryotic small subunit ribosomal RNA
Source: RNAcentral